AGUGAACGCUGGCGGUAGGCCUAACACAUGCAAGUCGAACGGCAGCACAGUAAGAGCUUGCUCUUACGGGUGGCGAGUGGCGGACGGGUGAGGAAUACAUCGGAAUCUACUUUUUCGUGGGUGAUAACGUAGGGAAACUUACGCUAAUACCGCAUACGACCUACGGGUGAAAGCAGGGGAUCUUCGGACCUUGCGCGAUUGAAUGAGCCGAUGUCGGAUUAGCUAGUUGGCGGGGUAAAGGCCCACCAAGGCGACGAUCCGUAGCUGGUCUGAGAGGAUGAUCAGCGACACUGGAACUGAGACACGGUCCAGACUCCUACGGGAGGCAGAAGUGGGGAAUAUUGGAAAAUGGGCGGAAGACUGAUCCAGCCAUACCGCGUGGGUGAAGAAGGCCUUCGGGUUGUAAAGCCCUUUUGUUGGGAAAGAAAAGCAGCAGGUUAAUACCCCGCUGUUCUGACGGUACCCAAAGAAUAAGCACCGGCUAACUUCGUG
Molecule: ribosomal RNA, 492 nt
Filed under: uncultured bacterium
Lineage: Bacteria
Description: partial 16S ribosomal RNA
Rfam family: Bacterial small subunit ribosomal RNA
Source: RNAcentral